CCUACGGGACGCACCAGUGGGGAAUAUUGCACAAUGGGCGCAAGCCUGAUGCAGCCAUGCCGCGUGUAUGAAGAAGGCCUUCGGGUUGUAAAGUACUUUCAGUCGGGAGGAAGGUGGUGAGCUUAAUACGCUCAUCAAUCGACGUUACCGACAGAAGAAGCACCGGCUAACUCCGUGCCAGCAGCCGCGGUAAUACGGAGGGUGCAAGCGUUAAUCGGAAUUACUGGCGUAAAGCGCACGCAGGCGGUUGAUUGAGUCAGAUGUGAAAUCCCCGGGCUUAACCCGGGAAUUGCAUCUGAUACUGGUCAGCUAGAGUCUUGUAGAGGGGGGUAGAAUUCCAUGUGUAGCGGUGAAAUGCGUAGAGAUGUGGAGGAAUACCGGUGGCGAAGGCGGCCCCCUGGACAAAGACUGACGCUCAGGUGCGAAAGCGUGGGGAGCAAACAGGAUUAGAUACCCUCGUAGUC
RNAcentral lists this ribosomal RNA (464 nucleotides) under uncultured bacterium. RNAcentral's name for it is "bacterial SSU rRNA". It matches the Rfam family "Bacterial small subunit ribosomal RNA", at positions 338 to 795 of the family's 1533-position model. The record is from RNAcentral.